AUGUCCUUUUGUUAAUAAUAUAAGGUUUAACCUGCUCAAUGAAAUUUAAAUAGCCGCAGUAUUUUGACUGUGCAAAGGUAGCAUAAUAAUUAGUUUCUUAAUUAGGAACUGGAAUGAAUGGUUGGACAAGAAAAUUACUGUCUCUUUUUUAAUAUUAUUGAAUUUUAUUUUUAAGUGAAAAAGCUUAAAUUUUUAUAAAAGACGAGAAGACCCUAUAGAGUUUGAUAUUUUUUAAAAAUAAGAUGUUAGAAUAUUGAUUUUUAAAAAAGUAUUUAAUUGGGGUGAUUGAGAGAAAAGCAAAAUUCUUUUAAAAUUUAAUUGAUUAUUUUCAAUUUUUAAAUCUAUAAUUUAUAAAAUUAAAAUAAAUUACCUUAGGGAUAACAGCGUAAUUUUUCUUUAAAGUUCUUAUUAAAAGGAAAGUUUGCGACCUCGAUGUUGGAUUAAAAUUAAUUUUUGGUGCAGUAACUUAAAAAUUGGGUCUGUUCGACCUUUAAAAUUUUACAUGAUCUGAGUUUAAACCGGUGUGAGCCAGGUUGGAUUCUAUCUUUAGAAAAUUUUUAUAUUUUAGUACGAAAGGACCAGAUAUGAAUUAAAUUAAUUGU
Molecule: ribosomal RNA, 602 nt
Filed under: Cautires sp. UPOL VK0578
Lineage: Eukaryota; Metazoa; Arthropoda; Insecta; Coleoptera; Lycidae
Description: partial 16S ribosomal RNA
Rfam family: Bacterial large subunit ribosomal RNA
Source: RNAcentral